This 657-nucleotide long non-coding RNA is filed under the name Trifolium pratense (red clover). Its description in RNAcentral is "long non-coding RNA (TPRA_LNC001307)". The record is from RNAcentral. Lineage: Eukaryota; Viridiplantae; Streptophyta; Magnoliopsida; Fabales; Fabaceae.
CAUUCUUCCAUUUCACAACCAGAGGCUUUAAAAUCUGAACCCUCUGAAACUGCUCAGGAAAAUCAAUAUUCAUUUCCUUCAUCUUCGCAUGAGUUCACCUAUGAAAAUGCCCAACAACAGAACACCUAUGAAAAUGCCCAACAACAGAACACCUAUGAAAAUGCCCAACAACAGCACACCUAUGAAAAUGCCCAACAACCAGAUGUCACAUAUCCUCAUUCACAGACAAGCUCACAGAUCCAGAACUUAUCUCCCUUCUCCAGUGUAAUGGUAAUACAUCGGUUCGUUUGUUAUAUUUGGAUGUGCAAAAUAUAUUGAGAAAAAUGAUAUUUGUACAUCCAAUUUGGGACAACCCUCUCUCUCUCUCUCAUUGUGUUCUUAUCCUCUCUCUCUAUUGUUUUUGUCCCAAAAGAUGAGGGAAGAAGAUGGUUGUCCCAAAGGUUGUCACGAAAUGGUUGCACAAAUAUCAUUACUCGUCAUUGUUGGUGCUAUAUUACCCCGCCCAUUCUUCAGAGAGUAAAAAGAAGCCUAUCUCUGCAAAACGUCUUAAUAAUGGAAACAUGCUUAUUGUAAAAAUUACAAUUUUCAAGACUGUCGUAUUUUGCACCUUCAAUUAAUUAUAAUUAUUUCUGGAAUGAACUGAUUUGAGACUGUUAA